RNAcentral lists this ribosomal RNA (253 nucleotides) under uncultured bacterium. RNAcentral describes it as "partial 16S ribosomal RNA". It matches the Rfam family "Bacterial small subunit ribosomal RNA", at positions 524 to 776 of the family's 1533-position model. The record is from RNAcentral.
UACAGAGGUCCCAAGCGUUGUUCGGAUUCACUGGGCGUAAAGGGUGCGUAGGCGGUCGGGUAAGUCUGAUGUGAAAUCUCACAGCUUAACUGUGAAACUGCAUUGGAUACUAUCCGGCUCGAGGAAUGGAGGGGAGACUGGAAUACUUGGUGUAGCAGUGAAAUGCGUAGAUAUCAAGUGGAACACCAGUGGCGAAGGCGAGUCUCUGGACAUUACCUGACGCUGAGGCACGAAAGCCAGGGGAGCAAACGGG